CCAAAUCAUUCAUAUUGUGUGGCCCUAAAUAGAUUAAUUCUCAAAAUUCAAGUUUAGCUAUAUAUGCAGGUGCAAGUGUGUGCUGAAACAUCAGUAUGGGAUUGUAUAUUUUUUUGUCGAUCGCAACCCUAAUGCCGGCUGUUCGGAACCGUUACAGUUCAUAGUGUUCACAAUAUAUCUAUGGUUCGAAGAAAAAAAGCGUGUUACAUGCUUACAGUAACGCGCAAUGUUGUGGCGAUGCUCACCUGCGCGCGCACGUGCACAUCUGUGUAGACGGACUAUGACGUCACUCUUACUGUAGACUCCAUAUUGUAUCAUUGGGUCCUUUGAGAUGGAAAGGUGUCUAUUUAAACUAAUUUCUGAAGUUGCCAUUUGUGACGGAAAGUAACAAUGGUUAUAUAAUGUAAAAGAUUUAGAAAGGAAAUUUGCCAAACUAUAGAUACAUUUUGGUAGUUGUGACAUGUAGAGAUUUAAGAUACAUACUAUUUUAUGGAAAAUUCAAUUAACCAUGGUUAGUAAUAUUAUUUCGCUACAUGUAUGUUAAAAUGGGUACAGAAAGAACAAUUAAAGUGUUGUUUGUGGGAGAUAACAUUGUAGAUUAGUGUUCGGUGUUGUAUUACCGGUGAUUGGUAGCGCGGGCGGCGCCGGCGGUGUACAGCAUUAGUAACGCUCAUCACAUCACUGUU
This is a long non-coding RNA of Achroia grisella, 686 nucleotides long. RefSeq lists it as uncharacterized. NCBI's taxonomy places the organism in Eukaryota, Metazoa, Arthropoda, Insecta, Lepidoptera, Pyralidae. The record is from RefSeq and is a predicted model, not a curated record. The transcript has 3 exons.